AGUUUUCAUUUCUAGGGUUGUUAUUUGUUCAUCUCUUGAUUACUACUCGUAUUUAUGAGAAAUGUGUGCUGCUGGUCUUUGUAAAAAGCUAGCUUGGUUUUUUUUGUUUGAUUGUUUGUUUGUUUUAGACUUUUAUUAAUUUAUUUAGUCAUACAUGACAGCAGAAUGUAUUUUGACAUAUAAUACAUACAUGGAAUGUACAUACAUCAAUUAUAUUGUCUAUUCUAUUCUGCAGCCCUUCCUAUCCUUCCUACUCCUCCCCUCCUCUCCCAUCCUUUCUCUCUAUGCUAGCUUGGUUUUUAAGGAUCUAUUUUACUAUUUUUUUCUAAUUUAAUAUGUUACUCUUUUGAACUGUAUCAAAUUUGUUUCUCCUUUUAAUUGUUUUUAGUCAUUUUUUUUUAGACUCAUAUCAAAUUUUUAUUUGCUUUCCAUUUUUGUUGUUGUUGUUGUUGUUGUUUAAUUUUAGAAAACACUUUGGGCUACAAAUUUUCCUCUGAGCUCAGUUUGGGCCAUCUCCCAUACACUUUAUCAUGUGGUGUUCUCAUGUUUAUUAAUUUUCAAGAAGCUUAAAUUUGGGGCUGGGGUGAUAGCUCAGCAGUAGAGCGCUUGCCUAGCACAUGUGAGGCCCUGGGUUCAAUCCUCAGCACCACAUACAAAUGAUAAAGAGAAUAAAGGUGUUAAAAAAAUUCCUUCCUUUAAAAAAAAAAGAAGAAGAAGAAGAAGCCUGAAUUUGAAGUUUUUACUUCUUGUUCAAAACAGAAUCUGUUUAGAGUACAACUGAUGUUUGUAUGUUUGUAUCUUUGUUCCCAGAGUUUUCCCACUAUUAUUGCUACCUUUUUGUAAUUCAUUUCUAGUUUCACUGAAUUAUAUGGUUUGAGGAUGGGAAUGUAUAACUUUUACUUUCUAUAAUUUGAAAUUUUUCUUUACAACCACACGUACACAUACCCACACACACCAAUAGUUAGAAAUGUUCCAUGGAUAUUUUAUAUACAUACACCUUAUUUGGAGAAUAUAUAUAGUUUC
RNAcentral lists this long non-coding RNA (1023 nucleotides) under Marmota monax (woodchuck). Lineage: Eukaryota; Metazoa; Chordata; Mammalia; Rodentia; Sciuridae. The record is from RNAcentral.